GCUUACGGCCAUACCAGCCUGAAUACGCCCGAUCUCGUCCGAUCUCGGAAGCUAAGCAGGUCGGGCCUGGUUAGUACUUGGAUGGGAGACCGCCUGGGAAUACCAGGUGCUGUAAGCU
RNAcentral lists this ribosomal RNA (118 nucleotides) under Salmo trutta (river trout). The record is from RNAcentral. Lineage: Eukaryota; Metazoa; Chordata; Actinopteri; Salmoniformes; Salmonidae.